Non-coding RNA from Anas platyrhynchos (mallard), 4673 nucleotides. The record is from RefSeq and is a predicted model, not a curated record. NCBI's taxonomy places the organism in Eukaryota, Metazoa, Chordata, Aves, Anseriformes, Anatidae.
CUGACUUGAUUGCAGAUCUACCUGCCAUGGACACCACGGCCGUGUUCCUGCUGUGGGAGGCUUCCAGGCAAGGCUCAGGCCUACAGGGUGAGGCUGGGCCUACCAAGGAGGAGUGCUUGCAAAACCCCAGCCACAGAUAAUCACCGGGGAGCUCGAUAACACCCACCUCGAGUCGUUACCUAAGGACUGAAGGCAGGCCCAGAGCUGUGCGCUGGACGGCGUCGUGCUCUGCUCUGCGGGAAGGCAAGCUGAAGGUGCACAGAGAAGAAGGCUGAUUGCUGGGCCAUUGGUGGGGGCAGCUGCUUUGCCUGCACACCUGGUGCCACUUUGUGGGGCUCUGGGUCCCACUUUGGGUCAGUUUGCAGCAAGGUGGCUCCAUGGGCAGGGUGCCUGGAACUUCCCUCUCCCUGUGUACGGAGGCUGGAGGCACAGACAGAGGGAAUGGAAGCACGAGGCUCUGCCUUUUCCGGAUGGUGGAGCUGUGACCUGUGCGCUCCUCCUGGGCUCUUCCCCCCAGCGCAGACUUCGUCAGCAGCGUCCCACGGGAGCCCUCCAUCUGCCCUCGCCACAUGCUGCAAAUGUGACCAUCGGCUUUAACCUCCUCCUGCUCUGAGUAAGUGUUUAUUGACUGAAAAAUGCUCGCCUGCAGGCUUGGUGCCAUGGUCCAUAGCCAGGAUGGUGCCUGGACCAGCUGAGGGGUGCUGGUGGCUCCUUCCCCCAUAGGCUGAGCAGGUGAGGGGACAGGAGCUGCUUCUCUUGAUGCUGCUGCCCCACGGAAGGGUCAAACAAAGCAGCAGAAAUGGAGGCCACUGAAGGGUUUAACCCUCAAGGCAGGCAUAGCCCAUGCAGCUCUGGCUUCUCGGGUGAGCAGUGGUCCUGGUCCGCUCGUGCCAACGGCCACACUGCUAGACCUAACCCAGGGGGAUGCGUGUACCGGUGGCACUGCGGCUACUUGGCUAAAAGCUCUCCAAAUGAGGUUGUUUCUUUGCGACUGCAUGUUUGGCUUGUACAGGUGGCCUAUUUUUAGAAAGAGCAUAAGCACAGCAGAGGGAGAGCAACCUGCCACCUGGCUGCGUGUGCCAGGGAAAAGGGUUUUUGCAGUCGCUGCGUUACACGGAGCAGCUGCUUUGUUCAUUGCCCGCUCCCAACAACAAACAGGUUUGCAGUCAGGCCUUUCAGACAAUCUUCCUUUAAUACAAAGUCAAUAUAUCUACAUACACAGUGGUAUGAAAACCACUUACUGUUUCAGUUUGAAAUAACAGUGUGAAAGCAACAGCACUUUGCUCUCAUACAAAGGAAAAAAACCUCCCUCCCUCCCCCCAACUCUUCCAGUAAGGUUUUGCUGCAACAUACUUAGAAAUUUGGGCAACUUUCACACAGAUAAGAAGUUAAAUCUUGAAGAAGCCUUUCGUUCUUUUUUUUUUUUUUUUUCAGUUAAAGACAGGAAAUGGAUUGUUGUGGGGUUUUCUGGGUAGCACUUGAUGGCAAUGAUAAACCCUUCUAGAAAAAUAAAAAAAGUCCCAGGCAAGCAGUGUUCAGGGCAGUGCAUCUUUUCCGAGACGUGCUCUCUCCUCUGCCACUUCUGCAAGAAAACUCCUUGUCACGUACACCUGUAAGCGCUUCGUAUCUACCACCCAGGGCCCAGACAGAGUUGGGCUGGUACCUGCAUUACACCACUGAUGUUUGUAAUCUGUGUAUGUGCCGAUGUGUGCCACGGCUCUGAAACUGCCCUCGUUUUGUCUUCAGUUGUAAGACCCUGGUGUGUUUUAUUCUCCCAGUUCAGCCCUGGCCUUGUUAGGACGGAGCAGCAGGGCCACAGCUGAAGGGGAGAGGUUGGCACUGCCACCGCAUCUCGGCCUGCCUGCUGAUCUCCCACCCUUCCAAAGACAUGUGAUAUGCCUGCGAUUUUAAAACAAAAGAACCCCAAAAAAAUCCAGAAAGGACAUUUUGUUUUUACAUGAGCAAGUUAAACCUUUUAAAUGGUAGAAAAGCAAUAUGUAGAAGUAGCAAUUUGCACUGCAUUUUUAUAUAUCACAGCCAUUACACGUAACAUUUCUACAGUGAAAAAAUAGACUGUCUUUGAACAUAAUAUGAACAAAUAAGCAAAUUUUUCUUUUAAAUUCAUUGACUGAUAUUCUUUGUCUUUUUUUUUAAAAAAAAAAAAAAGGAAAAAAUACACUAUUUAAAAAAAAGGUAAUGUCACUUGUUACAGUUACAUCGAUACUUUAAAGAAAGCCACUCACAGUAUAUGCCAUUGAUCUCACUUGAUCUUUCCCAGUUAUUUAUACAGCUAGGGCAUGUUCGUAGCUGUGCCAAUGAGCUUGGUCUGAUGUGGUACCGGGACAGUCCUGAGGAGUAUCGCUGCAUCGCGCCCGGAGAGCUGCUGUGUCCGGAGGUGAGGGGUUGGCAGCAAGAAGCAGUUGGCUAGUGGAAAUAAAUUUCUUAAGGAUGCUUCUCAGGCUCCUUCCAGAGAGAUGCUCCUGGCCUUCUGUGGCAGGAACUGGUGGGGCGGCACAGCUCCUUGCAGCAGAAGUGGGGUUGUGUGAAUGUGCAAAGAGAAUGGGAAAGGGGCUGCCUUUCUGUACUGGGGUGUCCCACUGCUGCCCAAUUAAUGCCUCUGUGUAGCUGGAUGUGCUGAAAAGGGGGAGCAGAACCAGCAGCCAGCGAACCCAGCCCAGGGGAGCUGCCACCUCUACCUGUCCCACCUGUGUGCAAGGGGAGGGGGCCACACCACACAGCCAGGUCUGGGUUCUCUCUCUCUGUCUCUCUCUAAUUUUAAAUAUCCUAAAAAAUAAAUUUUGGAAUUAGAAGAAAUGAGGAAUGUUCCAAGUAUUCAAAGUGUGAGCUAUAAAACCUCUCGCGUGGCAGGGGCAUUCAGUGAAUGCUGCUUGCAAGGUGCCUGUAAGCCCAGAAUCAUCCCAAUGUUGAUACUGAGGUUAUUAAGACUCCAGCUAGAAGAACUCCUGACCCUACGUUUGUCUAAGUGUUGAGAUUUAGUUCCUUUUCUUAUCUUUUACAGAACACCUUCAAUUCUGCAAGUGACUUCCUUUAAAGACUGCCAACUAUAUUAGUAAAUAAACUGAACUCUAAUGAUGUAACCAAAGUCGGUUUCCUUCCCUUCUCCAGCGGUAACGUUUCGCAAGGUGUGUUUUAGCUUUUGGAUCUGUUUCAUGAUGUCCAUACAUCUUCCACAGCGAACACCACUUGAGGUAACAAGAGCAGUUCACCACUUAAAGCAGUCCUUCAGCAAUCUCCUGAGCUGCCUCUUCACGGUCCAGGUUACAACAUGGAGUUCCUGAAGGGGUGUUCCUUUCAAUCCUUCCCCCUGCUCCCCAAUGCAUUGUCCAGAUGAAAAGGUACUUCUUCUGAUUCAGUUUUGUAAGUUCAAGCGCUCCUCCUGGGUCAAAAGAGGCCUUCCAGGACUUAAGUGGUUGGUAAAGUCUGCACAACGGAUGGCUUUUUAUGUUGCAUAGUGAUCAAAACUUCCCAGAUAUUCCAAAGCUGCCUGGUAACAGAACUGGUAUUCAUCCUGCAAGCAGUAAAGAAAAACAGUGCUUCAGCUUCAGAGGUUGAAAUUCAGAGGUUGAAACAGCCGCUCUACAGUUCCCUGCCCCACUUCCAGCUAGUGCACACCUGGGCAGGAACCCUGCACAGACCCUUUUAUUCUCAAAGAGCUGUGAGCUACUGGGAAAGGAAAUCCCUUUUCCUUAUUGUCAUGCAUCUCAUAGACAGCAGGCAUCCUGCCAAUAGUUUUCCCCUCUCUGCAGCAAAAAAAAAAAAAAAAGUGGGCUAUGUUUAGAAGCAGGUGAGUUCCCCUUAUCUCAGAGGCAGGAUGAGAUAAGAAUCAAGGCUGGCAGACUGGGGUGAAAUCUUUAAGAAAUUUAAAGGCCCAUGGUUGUUGUUAUUAUUACUUAGUAAAGUGAACCAAUAGUGCAGCCUGGGCUUGCUUAUCCUUCAGGUAAGGUUUUACUAAUGGUUAGAAGGGCAAGAAGUCUGCUGCACUCAGCCAGGGCAUUUAGGGAAUUGGCCUGCAAAGGUCCGGGACUUGCUACUCAGGUCCUGUAAACAGUGAUAAAGAAAGGGCUUGCUGCUCCCCCUUACCUCUGUUUGCACCAUAGCAGGUCGUUGCGUUCGCAGCAUCUUUACUGUCUGGAAAAUAUCUACAACACCCUCAUAGCGCAUUCUUUCCAGGACGAUACUCAGUGUGAUAAACACUCCAGUCCUGCCCACACCAGCACUGCAGCAAUGGGAGAUGAAAAACACCAAAAAAUGGUGAAGGUGAAUCCAGAUCACACUGUUAUGAGCUGUAAGCAAGAAAGAAUUUCCCUCUAAACGUGUACUGUGUGCAGUACAGGUAGGUGAUGGGACAGAACAGACCGGUGUUAUCACCUAGUCCUAAUCACCUAAUCCCUUAGUGCUGCAUCCUCAGAAAGCAGCCUGCUGGGUUAAGUUCACCCCCUGAUGGUGGUGAGGGCAGCCAGGUGCUGGUUACCUGUAGCCAUCAAUAAAGCUGGCGUUGAUGUAGUCUGACCCUUCCACUCCCCUGAUGGGCUGAAGGCAGACCCGCGUCGUCUCAUAUGGCAUGAUGUUGACAAGGCGAUUCUUGAAUUUGUUGCAUGGGAGAUUGGCACUGAUGAACCUGGAGGUGUGGGCUUUGGAGUUGGCGAGUCGCU